UACGUAGGGGGCAAGCGUUGUCCGGAUUUAUUGGGCGUAAAGAGCUCGUAGGCGGUCUGUCGCGUCGGCUGUGAAACCCCGAGGCUCAACCUCGGGCCUGCAGUCGAUACGGGCAGACUAGAGUGCGGUAGGGGAGACUGGAAUUCCUGGUGUAGCGGUGAAAUGCGCAGAUAUCAGGAGGAACACCGGUGGCGAAGGCGGGUCUCUGGGCCGUAACUGACGCUGAGGAGCGAAAGCGUGGGGAGCGAACAGG
This 253-nucleotide ribosomal RNA is filed under the name uncultured bacterium. Its description in RNAcentral is "partial 16S ribosomal RNA". It matches the Rfam family "Bacterial small subunit ribosomal RNA", at positions 524 to 776 of the family's 1533-position model. The record is from RNAcentral.